This 106-nucleotide ribosomal RNA is filed under the name Periophthalmus magnuspinnatus. Lineage: Eukaryota; Metazoa; Chordata; Actinopteri; Gobiiformes; Gobiidae. The record is from RNAcentral.
UGAAAUGGCCAAAACCUUCUUGCCAAAGCCUGAUCUCAAAAGCUAAGUAGGGCCAGGCCUGGUUAGUACUUGGAUGUGAUUACACUGAGAAUUGUAGGUGCCACAG